This 148-nucleotide signal recognition particle RNA is filed under the name Chlorocebus sabaeus (green monkey). Its description in RNAcentral is "Metazoan signal recognition particle RNA". It matches the Rfam family "Metazoan signal recognition particle RNA". Rfam says of the family: The signal recognition particle (SRP) is a universally conserved ribonucleoprotein. It is involved in the co-translational targeting of proteins to membranes. The eukaryotic SRP consists of a 300-nucleotide 7S RNA and six proteins: SRPs 72, 68, 54, 19, 14, and 9. Lineage: Eukaryota; Metazoa; Chordata; Mammalia; Primates; Cercopithecidae. The record is from Rfam by way of RNAcentral.
GCUGGGCGUGGUGGUGCGUGCCUGUAAUCCCAGUUACUUGGGAGGCUGAGGCAGGAGAAUUGCUUGAACCCAGGAGGCAGAGGUUGCAGUGAGCCAAGGUUGUGCCACUGAACUUCAGCCUGGGCGACGGAGCAAGACUCUGUCUCAA